This 422-nucleotide ribosomal RNA is filed under the name uncultured bacterium. RNAcentral describes it as "bacterial SSU rRNA". It matches the Rfam family "Bacterial small subunit ribosomal RNA", at positions 355 to 774 of the family's 1533-position model. The record is from RNAcentral.
UGAGGAAUAUUGGUCAAUGGGGGCAACCCUGAACCAGCCAAGUCGCGUGAAGGAUGAAGGUCUUAUGGAUUGUAAACUUCUUUUACACGGGAAUAAAGUGGGGGACGUGUCCCCCUUUGCAUGUACCGUGUGAAUAAGGAUCGGCUAACUCCGUGCCAGCAGCCGCGGUAAUACGGAGGAUCCGAGCGUUAUCCGGAUUUAUUGGGUUUAAAGGGUGCGCAGGCGGGAUGUUAAGUCGGCGGUGAAAUUUUGCAGCUCAACUGUAAAAGUGCCUUCGAUACUGGCCUCCUUGAGUGUGGAUGAANUAGGCGGAAUUUGUGGUGUAGCGGUGAAAUGCUUAGAUAUCACGAGGAACUCCGAUUGCGCAGGCAGCUUACUAAGCCACAACUGACGCUCAUGCACGAAGGCGUGGGGAUCAAACA